AGUUAUCCCAUUCCUCACGAUUGCUUUUAUUUUUUACUUUCGCCCGCUGUACAAAUGUAGGUAUGGGAAUGGCAUCGUCUAAAGUAGCAGCAGUUUCACGAUCUUUUCAGGCUAUGAAGCCUCACAUACCUUCAAUUAAGUUUCCAAACAGGGAAAAAGGACUAAACUCAGGUGUGGAGUUUGUUCCGUCUGCUGUUUCGUUAAGUUCACCAACUAAUUCAAGUAGUUCUAGUAAGUCGAUAGGAAGUU
Long non-coding RNA from Patella vulgata (common limpet), 249 nucleotides. RefSeq lists it as uncharacterized. NCBI's taxonomy places the organism in Eukaryota, Metazoa, Mollusca, Gastropoda, Patellidae. The record is from RefSeq and is a predicted model, not a curated record. The transcript has 3 exons.